GGAAAACUGACCCUGUUUUCAGAUUUGGCGCAAUUUUCGUUGGCCGGUGCAAAGAUUUGGGCCGGUGAUACAAGCGUUGACUGAAGAUAUUGUGGCAGGGAAAUCGAUGAACAACGUGCACAGAUCUCACUUUGAAAAGUCCACAGCAAUGACAGAAAUAUUUUUUGGAACCUGGUGGCGAAGUAUCGGAUGUCAAUAUGGCUGCAAUGUCCGGCGUAGAUGUAGGCAUGUUCACGGGUGCUUCGGCUCUAUAGAUCUGUUCUACAGGCGUCUGUUCAGUGUAUGGUGCCGGUCCUCGAGAAAUCAUUUGGUUGUAAGUGAGACUCUGCGCGUCAUUAUAGGUACUUUCAUUGAUGGAUGAACAAGCACUCAACUCGCUCAAUUUACUUUGGCGUGUAUGGAGCGGAGUUGAUGAAGCUUCCUAGGGUUGUAAAUAGCAUCCAAAUAACACCAAAUGCAUGAUCGUGGUACAACCAACAUGGAGGUAAAAGAGCAUUCAUCACAGAACCUGGCAAAGGAUUGCUUGGAACACGGAAAGAAUAUACCAACGGCUCGAUGUCGACGAUCUCCUUAUUUCUCUCUUUGCCUGAUUUUCUGAGACUGGCAAAAAUCGUUUGUACAAUGGAUUUUGAGUAAACAAGAAGCUUUACAAUCCAGGAAUCCGAAUCUGGUACUAAAUCAAUCGAUCUGUGGAAAUGAUCUGGUUAUCGCUUUUCAGUGAAACACAUCUGUUACUUCUCAUUCGGUUGGAUUUCCCUCCUUACAAUCGGUGGUAUUCAAGGGAUUGUCCUGGCGUCAGUCAAUUAUGUCCGAUAUUUGUAUAUCUUCGUCGUCAUCUCCAUUGUCAGAGUCCUCUUCAUCCGGAGGCGGAGUAACGAUGGUAC
Molecule: long non-coding RNA, 884 nt
Organism: Athalia rosae (coleseed sawfly)
Lineage: Eukaryota; Metazoa; Arthropoda; Insecta; Hymenoptera; Athaliidae
Exons: 5
Source: RefSeq, a predicted model, not a curated record